Molecule: long non-coding RNA, 737 nt
Organism: Lutra lutra (Eurasian river otter)
Lineage: Eukaryota; Metazoa; Chordata; Mammalia; Carnivora; Mustelidae
Exons: 3
Source: RefSeq, a predicted model, not a curated record
CAGCACAUAAGCAGCAGAAUCCACCGUGUCACUCCCAGAAGAGCAUUCUCCAUGGACUUCUGUGAUGUACUACCGACAAUCAAGCAAGUCCAAAGGAAGUUCCAAGAGUAAGAUGUCAGGCAAUAUCCACAGCUUCUCUGCACAUCCAUCAGCAAGUCUCCUGGAGCAAGUGGGGUAUGCUCCAUGCCACCACCAGCUGUCCCAUCUCCCAGUCACACCAGGUAUCUGAGGAGUGGCUACUCACAGAAUACUGAAACACCUUGGGAUAAUGGAAUCCCUGAGUCAAGAUCCACCUGCAUCAUCUUUUAUUCCUUGCAUGUUAUAAGAAUCACCUCCACCCUCAAGAGUGCCCGUGUUCUCUGACAGUGUUUUCAUAAAGACCGAGGCAAUACGAUAAGGAGGUUAUUUUAAGCACAAAGCCUUCUGCCCUCUUCCAUUCAGAAAUACACACAUUUUUAGGAAUUCAUAGUCCCUUAUGAAGGUGGUAGCUGCAGGGUUCCUAAACUCAGGGCAUGAGCCAAAUAGAAAAGAUUUCCCUGUUACCUACAAAUGGGAUCUCUUAGGUGUAUGCCUCCUAGCAUGCCUCUCUUAGAUGGGUAGUUUGUUAGUUUCUCCAAACAUGUGGGGAGGGACCUCCAUUUUUAGACAUGGAGUGAUGGGGAGAAUAGAGUACAGCAUCCAAAACAGAAGAAAGUUCUAGCUAAUCAAUUAUGAGCUGGGGAAGGAAUGAAGUAGUG